Molecule: non-coding RNA, 402 nt
Organism: Styela clava
Lineage: Eukaryota; Metazoa; Chordata; Ascidiacea; Stolidobranchia; Styelidae
Source: RefSeq, a predicted model, not a curated record
UGCCGAGUCAAAGAUCAUUGUUCCUUCCGAAGCUGCGUGUAGUGACAUUGAUAAGGAUCACCGUAUUGAAUGUGGACCACAAGAGAUAACAUUGGAUGCAUGCGAAGCAAGAAAAUGUUGCUACGAUACAACUAUAACAAAGGCCAUUUGGUGCUUCAAGAAAGAGACGAGCCGUUACGAAUAUUUCGCAUCGAAGUACAAAAGAUUCACCAAUGACGUAGUCGAUCAUGGUAGUUCAUUGCUCAAAACUCUCGCUGGUUUACCUCGAUCAGUCGGGAACACCAUUUCUGAUCUCUUGGAAUACGAUGUCCCCGAAUCUUGUGAAGAAAUCCGAUAUCAUAAUGGUCGCAGUAGAGGAACAUAUGGCGCAUGGUACGAUAUGAAUCUGGGAAGAAAAUUGGA